This 22-nucleotide microRNA is filed under the name Cervus elaphus (red deer). RNAcentral describes it as "PC-3p-82900". The record is from RNAcentral. Lineage: Eukaryota; Metazoa; Chordata; Mammalia; Artiodactyla; Cervidae.
AAAACUAGAAUGAACUUUUUGG